This 452-nucleotide ribosomal RNA is filed under the name uncultured bacterium. Its description in RNAcentral is "bacterial SSU rRNA". It matches the Rfam family "Bacterial small subunit ribosomal RNA", at positions 30 to 466 of the family's 1533-position model. The record is from RNAcentral.
AGUGAACGCUGGCGGCAGGCCUAACACAUGCAAGUCGAGCGGCAGCGCGUCCGACCACCCUCGGGUGGUCGGAUGGCGGCGAGCGGCGGACGGGUGAGGAAUGCAUCGGAAUCUGCCUCGUUGUGGGGGAUAACGUAGGGAAACUUACGCUAAUACCGCAUACGACCUACGGGUGAAAGUGGGGGACCUUCGGGCCUCACGCGAUGAGAUGAGCCGAUGCCGGAUUAGCUAGUUGGCGGGGUAAAGGCCCACCAAGGCGACGAUCCGUAGCUGGUCUGAGAGGAUGAUCAGCCACACUGGAACUGAGACACGGUCCAGACUCCUACGGGAGGCAGCAGUGGGGAAUAUUGGACAAUGGGGGGCAACCCUGAUCCAGCCAUGCCGCGUGUGUGAAGAAGGCCUCGGUUGUAAGACGACUUAAGUACGAGGAGGAAGGUUUUAGUUUAAGUUAC